GAUGAACGCUGGCGGCGUGCCUAAUACAUGCAAGUCGAGCGAACGGACGAGAAGCUUGCGCCUCUGAUGUUAGCGGCGGACGGGUGAGUAACACGUGGAUAACCUACCUAUAAGACUGGGAGAACUUCGGGAAACCGGAGAUGAUACCGGAUAAUAUUUUGAACCGCAUGGUGCAAAAGUGAAAGACGGUCUUGCUGUCACUUAUAGAUGGAUCCGCGUUGCAUUAGCUAGUUGGUAAGGUAACGGCUUACCAAGGCAACGAUGCGUAGCCGACCUGAGAGGGUGAUCGGCCACACUGGAACUGAGACACGGUCCAGACUCCUACGGGAGGCAGCAGUAGGGAAUCUUCCGCAAUGGGCGCAAGCCUGACGGAGCCACGCCGCGUGAGUGAUGAAGGUCUUCGGAUCGUAAAGCUCUGUUAUUAGGGAAGAACAUAUGUGUAAGUAACUGUGGCCAUCUUGACGGUACCUAAUCAGUAAGCCCCGGCUAACUACGUG
This 497-nucleotide ribosomal RNA is filed under the name uncultured bacterium. Its description in RNAcentral is "partial 16S ribosomal RNA". It matches the Rfam family "Bacterial small subunit ribosomal RNA", at positions 28 to 507 of the family's 1533-position model. The record is from RNAcentral.